Macaca mulatta (Rhesus monkey) is the source of this 148-nucleotide unclassified non-coding RNA. It matches the Rfam family "Metazoan signal recognition particle RNA". Rfam says of the family: The signal recognition particle (SRP) is a universally conserved ribonucleoprotein. The record is from Ensembl. Lineage: Eukaryota; Metazoa; Chordata; Mammalia; Primates; Cercopithecidae.
GCUGGGUGUGGUGGCGUGCACCUGUAAUCCCAGCUACUUGGGAGGCUGAGGCAGGAGAAUCGCUUGAGCCUGGGAGGUGGAGGCUGCAGUGAGCCAAGAUUGCAUCACUGCACUCUAGCCUGGGCAACAGAGCGAGACUCUGUUUCAA